Saimiri boliviensis boliviensis (Bolivian squirrel monkey) is the source of this 1149-nucleotide non-coding RNA. The record is from RefSeq and is a predicted model, not a curated record. Lineage: Eukaryota; Metazoa; Chordata; Mammalia; Primates; Cebidae.
AUGGCUUUACGACUGCAGGGCAACAGGGCUCUGUUUUUGAGCAGCUCACCAAAAGAGACUAGGGAGAAUGAAAUGUUUGCCCUAAAAUUUCUUGAGCUCCCACAGUAUCGGAGUACUUUUUCUUUUUUAAAAAUUUUUGAAAUUGGAUGCCAGUUCCGGAAUGAGGGGAUUGAUUUGACACACAAUCCUGAGUUCACCACCUGUGAGUUCUACAUGGCCUAUGCAGACUAUCACAAUCUCAUAGGAAUCAUGGAGAACAUGGUUUCAGUGAUAGUGACGCAUACUACGGGCUGGUACAAGGUCUUCUACCACCCAGAUGGCCCAGAGGGCCAGGCCUAUGAAAUUGACUUCACCCCACCUUUCCAGAGAAUCAGCAUGGUAGAAGAGCUUGAGAAAGGCUUGGAGUUGAAGCUACCAGAAACUAACCUCUUUGAAACUGAAGAAACUUGCAAAAUUCUUGAUGAUAUCUGGGGGGUAAAACCUGUUGAAUGCUCUCCACCUCGGACCACAGCCAGGCUCCUUGACAAGCUUGUAAGGGAGUUACUGGAAAUGACUUGCAUCAAUCCUACGUUCACCUGUGAUCAGCCACAGAUAAUGAGCCCUUUGGCUAAAUGGCGCCGCUCUAAAGAGAGUCUGACGGAAAGCUUUGAGCUAUAUGUCAUGAAGAGAUAUGCAAUGCCUACACUGAGCUGAAUCAUCCCAUCCAGCAGCAGCAGCUUUUUGAAGAACAGGCCAAGACCAAGGCUGCAGGUGAUGAUGAGGCCAUGUUCAUAGAUGGAAACUUCUGUACUGCCUUGGAAUACGGGCUGCCCCCACGGCUGGCUGGGGUAUGGGCAUUGACCGAGUCACCAUGUUUCUCAGGGACUCCAGCAACAUCAAGGAAGUACUUCUGCUUCCUGCCAUGAAACCCGAAGACAAGAAGGAGAAUGUAGCAACCAUUGAUAUGCUAGAAAGUACAGCAGUUGGCACUUUGGUCUAGAAAAUAAUAAUUGCAAGUUGUAUAACUCAGGCGUCUUUGCAUUUCUGCAAAAGAUCAAGGUCCACAAGGGAAUUCUUGUAUGUGGCUUUCCAUUUGACUGCCGCAGUUUGGUUCAGCCAUCAGAAGAGAGACAAGGAAUUAAAAAUGUCUUUUUAAUCCUUGUUACCAAA